UACGAAGGGGGCUAGCGUUGUUCGGAAUCACUGGGCGUAAAGCGCGCGUAGGCGGAUUGUUAAGUCGGGGGUGAAAUCCCGAGGCUCAACCUCGGAACUGCCUUCGGUACUGGCGAUCUUGAGUCCGGGAGAGGUGAGUGGAACUCCUAGUGUAGAGGUGAAAUUCGUAGAUAUUAGGAAGAACACCAGUGGCGAAGGCGGCUCACUGGCCCGGUACUGACGCUGAUGUGCGAAAGCGUGGGGAGCAAACAGG
This 253-nucleotide ribosomal RNA is filed under the name uncultured bacterium. RNAcentral describes it as "partial 16S ribosomal RNA". It matches the Rfam family "Bacterial small subunit ribosomal RNA", at positions 524 to 776 of the family's 1533-position model. The record is from RNAcentral.